GCAAAGGGUGGUUUUAACCUGGACAAGUAGCCUACCCUAUUCUGUACACAAAUACUGUAGUUUUAUAAAAAGGAUGACGAGAGGCACAUUGACAAGGAUCUGCAAAUCGGGACUUUCUUGCUUUGUUCUAAUCUCAUACAUAGGUAUGACAUCUUCGAUGAGUUUCGAUUUAAAUGAACUUAGAAAUAAAGUUUCAAACAUCAAGGUAAAUCAGAGGGGAAGUCUAUGGGCAACUGGUCAUUUCAUGGGCAAGAAAAGUGUGGAUAGCACGUUUUUGGAGUCUUCCUUCGGAAAUGGAAAGAUCCCUUUUGGAGUUCAGUCUGUCAACCCCGAGCGCAACGCAGAGAGUUUGACAGAGCUGCUAAUUGAAGACGUGCUGAAAAGGGCUCUACAGACUCCGCAGAAACAGGGCUUGAGAUCGGGAGGCGGUUUUCCUGAUGAAAUUACUGGACAACAUUUGAACCAACAGAAAUAAACUGAGAAGGGAGAAAGGGCACCCACAUCCAACUAUACAGCAUCAACCCACAAAGAAGAUGAAUGGAGGAUUUCAAUAAAGUGAUCAUAUCGAGAUUCGCAAGAUGUUCAGCUAAACUAAGCCUAAUGUAUUGUUUUAUUAAAAAGCUGUGACAUUGUUUUUUCCCGCUCCAUAAUUAUCCACUCCUGUAGUGCUUCUCAUAUCUGAAUAAAAAUGGAAGAACAAACAUGUUUCAUGUCUUUAGGCUAUUUAGGUCACAUUCACCCACAUUCAUCAUAGAAAAUAAAGCCUGUCCACUACACUUAUUGUUUUAGCAAUUAAUCAAUGUUGUA
This is a long non-coding RNA of Coregonus clupeaformis (lake whitefish), 807 nucleotides long. RefSeq lists it as uncharacterized. The transcript is spliced from 3 exons. The record is from RefSeq and is a predicted model, not a curated record. NCBI's taxonomy places the organism in Eukaryota, Metazoa, Chordata, Actinopteri, Salmoniformes, Salmonidae.